UGUAGUGGAGAUUCGUAAUACGGGCUGUAGUUGGAGUCUAGGUAGUAUUCUUAUGUUGGCAGAAGGUGUCUGGAGCUGUGAAGUUACCCUGCAGCACUUUGACUUUUUUCCUAACUUUCUUUCAGAUGCGGAUGGAUCGACCUCCCGGCAGAGCGCCCCGUCCCAGAUGAGGCGAUCCCCCCGAGAAGGAAGUAAAGCCGGAUAGCAGCAGCGAAGGCGAAGCAGGUAGAAGGUGGUCUACUUGCAAGAUAUCCCAGCCCAGGAUGCCAGAGGACAGGUUCCGUGCAGAGAGGCAGAGCCCAAGUUUGCGAUCGGCCGCACCGAAGCCGGCGCGGGGGACGUCUUGAUGUACACAUCCUAUCGAGGAUGGGUCUUGUCCUAUUACGUUACAAAAGGUCUCUGAUGCCUAUUUUCUGAGGAUCUACCAUUUGAUGUUGAGAAGCAGCAGCGAGAAGAUGUCUCGGGGCAUUUUGUUCAGCACAGUGUUUCAAAUAAGGGUUGUGGUCACUGUGUGAGUUAGAGUCUCCUGCUGUGUGUCAGAGCGUGUCUGUCUGUGAGAGUCGGUGGGUCUGGGUGUGCUUGUGUGUGUGUGUGUUGUGCGGUUCUAACCUUGUGUGUAUUGCUUUUGCUUUUCAGGACUUUAAAUUAACUUUUAAAUUUAGAAUAAAAAAUCCCCAGCUGGGGGGGUUUUUUUUUUUUCCCUCCCAGCUGGGGUUUUUUUUCCUCGGUCCCGGCCGGUCUGCGAGGCGACAGUCAUCGCCUAAGUUUGGGCACGGACC
Poecile atricapillus (Black-capped chickadee) is the source of this 779-nucleotide long non-coding RNA. RefSeq lists it as uncharacterized. The transcript is spliced from 5 exons. Lineage: Eukaryota; Metazoa; Chordata; Aves; Passeriformes; Paridae. The record is from RefSeq and is a predicted model, not a curated record.